AUUGAACGCUGGCGGCAGGCCUAACACAUGCAAGUAGAGCGGAGCGGCGGACGGGUGAGUAAUGCCUAGGAAUCUGCCUGGUAGUGGGGGAUAACGUACGGAAAUGGGCGCUAAUACCGCAUACUCGCAGCUGAGCCUAGGUCGGACUAGCUAGUUGGUGGGGUAAAGGCCUACCCAGGCGACGAGCCGUAGCUGUACUCAGAGGAUGAUCAGUCACACUGGGACUGAGAAACGGUCAAGACUCCUGCUGGAGGCAGCAGUGGGGAAUAGGCGACAAUGGGCGAAAGCCUGAUCCGGCCAUGCCGCGUGUGGGAAGAAGGUCUUCGGAUUGUAAAGCACUUUAAGUUGGGAGGCGUUACCAAAAGAAUAAGCAACGGCUAACUUCGUGCCAGCAGCCGCGGUAAUAC
RNAcentral lists this ribosomal RNA (407 nucleotides) under uncultured bacterium. RNAcentral describes it as "partial 16S ribosomal RNA". It matches the Rfam family "Bacterial small subunit ribosomal RNA", at positions 30 to 526 of the family's 1533-position model. The record is from RNAcentral.